AACGAACGCUGGCGGCAUGCCUAACACAUGCAAGUCGAACGCUACAUUCGGGUCUGGUGGCGCACGGUGGCGUACCGCGGGGGAACAUGCGCUUAGCUUCGGCAUAACUCCCCGAAAGGGGUGCUAAUACCGGGCUAUUACUUCGUGCCAACGCUUUCUCGGCUUGGGCUGGGCCCGCGUUGGAUUCGGUAGGGGGUAGGGUAACAGCCUACCAAGGCGACGAUCCAGAGCUGGGCUGAGAGGAGGACCAGCCACACUGGGACUGAGACACGGCCCGGACUGGUACGGGAGGCAGCAGUGGGGAAUACUGUACGAGGGGCGAAAGCCUGAUCCAGCCAUGCCGGGUGAGAGAGGAAGGCCUUAGGGUUGCAAAUCUCGUUUGGCCGGGAUGAUAGUGACGGUACCUGGAGAAGAAGCACCGGCUAACUCCGUG
Molecule: ribosomal RNA, 433 nt
Filed under: uncultured bacterium
Lineage: Bacteria
Description: partial 16S ribosomal RNA
Rfam family: Bacterial small subunit ribosomal RNA
Source: RNAcentral